UUUGAAUUCCUGAUCUUGCUCCCGAAGACUUCUCUUCCCCUCUCUAUACAAGAACCCUAAUCGUCUGUUUAGCUUAGCCACAUCCUUAUAUUAUCUCUAUGAAUAACAAAGAAUGAAAGAUUAUGGCUAGAUUUGAUAUAUAGAAGCGUGGUUGAAAUAUUGAGGUUGGAUCAGGAAAAAUCGAAAGUAACAGUCUUUUGUAUAUAGUCGCACCCAUAUGUCCUCUCUAUGAAUAUCCACCGUCAACACCGCCACCAUCCACCAUCAGCCAUCUACAGCCCCUCACCAUAUCCUUUAUUUUAUGUCUCUCACACUCUCAUCAACUCUCGCAAUCUACUAAAAUUGUUCAGGUUUUAAGAUUCUGCCUCUCACCUUCAACGUUUUUCUUUCUUUUUAUUGAUGACCCAUUCAAAUGUUCACAUAUUCUGCACGUGGCUUGAUUGCAGGUUUUAGGGGGGUGGGGGAAAGAGUUGCUUAACGAAGAAAAUGAAGAAGAUGGUUGAUUGUUUUAGUUGGAUUUUCCCUUCCCAUUUCACAUGUUCAUCAUCUCAUAAUCUCAGGUAUUCUACCAGUUUAUGCUUUUCAGUCGUAAAUCGAAUUAUGGUCUUUCAUUUUGAUUUUUUGCUUUAGAAACCCUUAAGGUUCAAUCCCUGAAUCGAAAAUUGAAUUAUAGUCAAGGUAUGGAUUAUUCUAUAUUAUCUUCCUAAUUUUUCUGCAAUUUAGAAUUUUAAAUCGGAAAAUCCCCCAAUCUCGCAUGCUGAUUUCUUGAUUUUUCCAUAAAUUAUUACCUUUUCCUCCCAAAUCUCCAAACCCUUAAACGCCAACCUCAUGGGAUCAAAAUUGAAAUAGAAGAAGAUUUACACGCCUAUUUUGUUCUGAUUUGAAAAUCACAAACACAAACAACUCACAAAUGUUAUGAUUUUCAAUCGGAGAGGAUCUUGGCCUGUAGUUAGGCUGCAGAAAUAACUGGCGAUAUGUCCUUCACCAAAAACUGAUUUCAGUUUUAAUUUUUCCCUUCUUGAUUUGAUCCCAUAAAACCAGUAUAUCUCCUCUUUUCUAUAAACCUAGCCAUCAUUGCAUUUGUUAUUUCAAAGCACUACAUCUCUUCUUCACCAAAAACUUAUUUCAAUCAGAUACACCGUUGAUAAGCCACCCCUCCUUUGGUUUGGUUGAUCUUCGUAUUCCGUCUGCUUUCAUCUCCCUAAUAUUGUAUGCUCUCAUCUAAUUUUCUAGGGUUCUUACACGCAUUUUCAUAUUUUGUAGCCCCAACUUUCAUUCGUUCCAUUUUUUGUCAUUUUUUCAUCCGUUUCCCACAAUCCCAUUAUCAUUGUGAUGAAAUUUUUUCUAUUUUAAUUUUAUUUCCAUUAUUCGAUAUAGGUUGCAAGUGUAAAAUAUGAUAAUCAAGUCUUUUUUUCUUAUGGGUUUAGAUUAUGAGUGUGGUAUAGAAAUUUUUUGGUAGAAUUAGGUUUUUCUAUCUGCAACGAAGACAAGGAUCAAUUUCUCGCUUUUUUUCUUAAUUUUCAAUCUGCAAUUAUACAUAUUUUCAAGUUCGGUCCUAUGAGCCGUUGGUUGUGUAAAGGCGGACAGGUUCUAAUCCAUGUUUACCCCACCAGCGAAACAAUAUUGGAUAAGAUAUGGUCAUAUCAUCUCCUUUAAUCCUUAGUUACAUCAAUUAGAUGUGUUGCAUCUAAAUAUGUGUGUGCUUCAGAUAAAUAUCAAUAAACCCAUAGAAAAUGGUAUUUUUAGCUUUGUAUUUCUCAUUAAUCUUUUGGUUUCUUACAAUUUCAUACUAUAGAUUUCUCAAGCUUUUGAGCAAACCCGACAAGCUGAUUGUGCUCCAUGGUAAUAUGAUGUAAAACCCACUCACACUUGUAAUAGUUACAAAUGAAAGUAAGAUUCUAUGUUACAUUAAUAAAUGAAAGUGCAUUGCUAUUUACUGCUAAGGUUUUGGUUCGAAAAUAGAAGGUAAGGCCCGCUGAUGGGGAGAUGACUUACUCCUAUAAGCUGUACAUUUGAAUUUCUCUCUGACUUGAACAAGAAAAAUAGACUUAACAUAUAUAGUCAACGGAAAUGAGGCUUUUCUCCUUAAGCCCUAACUUUUUACAAAUUUGGCAUCAUAUGUUUUUUUCUUUCCAUUUUCAUUUUCCAAAUGUGCCAUCAUUUUCUUAAAUAUCUUGCAAACAUCAUUUAUCUAGAAGAAACUUAAUAACUAAAAAAAGGUGUUUUUUCUUUUACUUCCACUACUAGAAAAACAGCCUUUUACGACGCUCAUUGCGCGUCGUAAAAGGCUCAGACGACGCGCAAAUGCGCGUCAAGGAAGGCCAUGUCAUAAAGAGAGACGGCGCGAAUUUACGAUACUCAUUUACGACGCGCAAUUACGACGCACGUUUACGACACGCAAUGCGUAUCAAGGAAGCCCUUGUCAUAAAAAAAGACGACACGCAUUCGCGUGUCGCAACCUUAUGACGCGCGUGUUAAUGACACGCAAUACGUAUCAAGAAAGCCCCUGUCAAGAAAGGCCAUGUCAUAAAUGAAGAUGACACACAGUUUUGCGUAUCAUAAUUUUAAAUGUUUAAAAGAAAUAUUAUUUAUAGAUUUACUAAUUUUCAAAUUAAAUUUGUAUUAAUGUCUCAUAAUAUAAAAUUAAAUAUCAUAUACAAAAAAAUACAAUCCAUUGUAUAAAAUUUAAUGUCAUACAAAUAAUCGUUCCAUGUAAAGAUAAAACAAAUCAAUAGUUGUAACAAAAAUUUAAUGCCAUACAUUGUUAUUAAGGGGUUUUCCCAAACUAUAUAACCUGAUACUAUAUCCCUAACUAUAUAACCUGAUCCUUCAUGCCAUUAGUUUGCCACCUGGUGUACUACGUAAAAUGUUGAACUUGGUGUCAUGGGCAGCUGCCCACCGGGCGUGGCUGGAAAGUAAUUACUUGCUGAUAAGAUAACAAUGCUUUAAUCCAAGACGAGUCAAGAAUGCCUAAGAAAAAGAAUCAACUAAACAAGCAAAAUCUUGAUUGGAUUUUUGUUAGUGUAAGAAGUUAAAGGUACAACCCUUUAAAAGGCAGCUGGUAUCCCAAGUGUGAGGAAUGGAGGCCUAUGAUCCAUUGUCACCUAAAACAAAAAAAUUCCUGUUAGAAAAAAACUUCACCUUUAUUUAUUAGUUUUCCCUCCACCACUGUAGGCAUGCUUCAAAUUCGUUAGAUCAAUGUUGUCUAAACUGUUAGACAACAAUGAGUUUCCAAGUAAUCCUAAAAAUCAAAGUAAUGCUUCAAACUCUUCUCAGUUUUGUUAGAAACAAACUUUAUGUGGAAGAUCUUUAUGCCAAAUACAUUGAAUUCAUGGGGGAGGGAAAUAUUCAAGCCCAAGUGUUAGAAGGAAAAAAUGACACCCUGUCAAAAAGAAAGAAAAUAUGUCUAAGUUGAUUUCAAUCUAUCCCAAUUUUCAUUGAUCAAACAUUCAACUUUCAUAGAUUCAAUUCAAAUCAAAAAUACACCUCAACAGCCAAAUAACAAAUGGAUCCAACAGUGAAGCUAGUCCAUCAGCAAAGCAAAAUCCUAGAGAUAAUUUGAAGAAAUUCUGGUCUAAUAUGUUUAAAAUUUCAUAAAACCCAAAUUCACUAAUGAAAAUGCAGAUCUACAUUGGUAAGUUACUAUGCAUUCCAACCUUGACAAAAAGGUUAGGCAAUAUGUUGAAGAUGCAGUUGCAAAACCAUAUUCCAACAUAAUAAGAACUAUAGAUUAUAUAACACCAUUUCCAAUAAACUGUUCUGAGCCUACAAAGAUAGAACAAUGUUAAACAUAGUUCAUUAAAGAUGUAAAAUACUUACAAUAAACUGUUCUAGGCCUACAAAAAAAGGUUUCUACAUACAGAUACUACUGAUGUAAAUACUUACAAUAUACCUUUGAAAAUGCAUUUAAAAUGUGAGUUUGGAGACUUACCAAAGAUGUAAAAGAGAAUGAUUGCAAAUAAGGAAGGGAUUAAGAAGCUUAUGAUGUCCUAUAUAUGUGUUGACACCCAAUGUGACAUAUAGAUACCCGAGUAUUAGUAAUGAUAACCAGUUAAUGGUCAAACUGUGAAUCACUUAUUGGUUAUACAUUGUUGUGUUAACAAAAGAAAAGCGUAAAGAAAACAAACAAGUUUUCUUACCCCACUAAUCAGUUGUUGAUGUUUCACUUUUACUUCAUGCUCCUGCAUAAGACAUGCAUUACGUUAAAAUACAAGAAAAAUAUUCCCAUUAACUAACUGUUUACAGGAAACCCAAAUUAGUUUAGCCAAAAUGACCAAUAAGUUAUAAAUCCUUGAUCAAGAAAUUCUUGCGUAUUGCAUAAAAUGUUUAUUGUUGGAUUAACUGAGGGGCGUUAAAAUAAUUGGGUCAAUUAUGUGAAAAAGACAACUAGAGAGUGGCAUACCUUCACAAUAGGAACAACAAAUGAAGCACGAAUGAAAUCACUAUUUAAAUACACAACAAUAGUUACAGAGAAUGCAUCCAGGUCCUACAAGAUCAUACAAAUCGCUAUUUAAAUACACACUACAUAUAAAGGUGUCAAUAUUCUGAUUGUAUGUUAUCCUAGAAAAAUUUAUAAGAUAUGAGUAUACAUAGAAUAAUAAUUGGAAGUAUAUGUAUACUUGAUGUUGCAGGUGUUGACUUUCUGUCAUUGGCAUUGGAUGAUUACGUGUUUGUAUGGUCAUAUUCCCAUUAUAUGUACCAAGCCUAAGAAUUACAUCAUUCAUUAAAUUGACAAAGGUUGGAGCAGCAUGUUGAUAAGUGUUGUUGGGAAAAACCGAAUAUCCUAUACUACCAUGAUCAUUCUGAGGAUCCAUCACAAUAACCCCAUAUCUUGACUCAUAAGAUUCAUUGAAGCUGGACAUCAAUAGCAUCUUACAAUACCUUACUAGGAUCAGGAAAUGU
RNAcentral lists this long non-coding RNA (4902 nucleotides) under Lactuca sativa (garden lettuce). Its description in RNAcentral is "long non-coding RNA (LSAT_LNC001805)". Lineage: Eukaryota; Viridiplantae; Streptophyta; Magnoliopsida; Asterales; Asteraceae. The record is from RNAcentral.